CGUGAACGGCGAACGGCCCAAGAGUUCGAUCAUGAUCAUGGGCCACGGUCGCAUCAUGGAUUCCUAGCCAACAGAAUCCUGGAGUGUUUCACGAUUGAAAUGGCCUAGUGCGUAUAGCCUUAGCUAAUGGGCUCAAGUGGGGCCACGUACAAACAAAAGAGCCAGAGGCCCAAAUAACGGUUAGUCAGUCAACUCAGUAUCUUUCUCCUACGGACUACCUUGCUCAGAGAUCAAUGUUGUCUCCUGUCUCCCUUUGCGUGUAUAUAGACGUGUACUUAUUUGUGUGUGUGAUGUAAGUGUAGAGUAUGUGGAUUAUGUACGUCUAAGUUUAUUCGAUAAAAAAAGUUAAGUCUAAUUUUCUAGUCCCAC
RNAcentral lists this long non-coding RNA (369 nucleotides) under Sorghum bicolor (sorghum). Its description in RNAcentral is "long non-coding RNA (SBIC_LNC011374)". Lineage: Eukaryota; Viridiplantae; Streptophyta; Magnoliopsida; Poales; Poaceae. The record is from RNAcentral.